UUUUAGGGAGACCCAUCAAGUCAAAAGAGCAAAGUAAAAAGUAAAAAGGAUGGAAAGUAUUUCUUUGAACUUUUGCCUUUUAGCCUUUAACUUGAUCUACCCUAGGUCGUUCGAGAAUUGGCUUUGGCUUCAAACUAUUAUCCGAUUCGGAUUAAUAAAAAAUUACAACAAGUAAGAACAUAUACAGACAGCAACUAAAGUUAGUGAUAUAACUAAGCCUGCUGGAUGUAUGUCCAGUAAAGAACCUUGAAAACUGCAUAGUGACGCAAAUUGUAGGCAGUAACCGUCUUAAUUACAGAAGUAAUUAUUACGGGUAUUGAAUUACAGACAAAUCCUUUGAAUUGAUGAAAUU
RNAcentral lists this unclassified non-coding RNA (352 nucleotides) under Dulcicalothrix sp. HA4395-MV3. Its description in RNAcentral is "Calothrix sp. HA4395-MV3 16S-23S ribosomal RNA intergenic spacer". The record is from RNAcentral. Lineage: Bacteria; Bacillati; Cyanobacteriota; Cyanophyceae; Nostocales; Calotrichaceae.